RNAcentral lists this transfer RNA (68 nucleotides) under Marmota monax (woodchuck). RNAcentral's name for it is "tRNA.Ala". The stretch from base 5 to 65 matches the Rfam family "tRNA", at positions 6 to 65 of the family's 71-position model. Rfam says of the family: Transfer RNA (tRNA) molecules are approximately 80 nucleotides in length. The record is from RNAcentral. Lineage: Eukaryota; Metazoa; Chordata; Mammalia; Rodentia; Sciuridae.
GGACUGGGGCUUAGUGGUAGAGCACUUGCCUGGCAUGCGUGAGGCACUGGGUUCAAUCCUCAGCACCA